GGAUGGUCAUGCGUCGCAUUAGCUAGUUGGCGGGGUAACGGCCCACCAAGGCGACGAUGCGUAGGGGUUCUGAGAGGAAGGUCCCCCACACUGGUACUGAGACACGGACCAGACUCCUACGGGAGGCAGCAGUGAGGAAUAUUGGUCAAUGGCCGCAGGGCUGAACCAGCCAAGUCGCGUGAGGGAUGACGGUCCUAUGGAUUGUAAACCUCUUUUGUCAGGGAGCAAAGGGCGCCACGUGUGGCGUUUUGCGAGUACCUGAAGAAAAAGCAUCGGCUAACUCCGUGCCAGCAGCCGCGGUAAUACGGAGGAUGCGAGCGUUAUCCGGAUUUAUUGGGUUUAAAGGGUGCGCAGGCGGAAUGUCAAGUCAGCGGUAAAAUUUCGGGGCUCAACCCCGUCGUGCCGUUGAAACUGGCGUUCUUGAGUGAGCGAGAAGUAUGCGGAAUGCGUGGUGUAGCGGUGAAAUGCAUAGAUAUCACGCAGAACUCCGAUUGCGAAGGCAGCAUACCGGCGCUCAACUGACGCUCAUGCACGAAAGCGUGGGUAUCGAACAGGAUUAGAUACCCUGGUAGUCCACGCAGUAAACGAUGAAUACUAACUGUCCGGGCAGAAUGAUGCCUGG
This 622-nucleotide ribosomal RNA is filed under the name uncultured bacterium. Its description in RNAcentral is "bacterial SSU rRNA". It matches the Rfam family "Bacterial small subunit ribosomal RNA", at positions 223 to 842 of the family's 1533-position model. The record is from RNAcentral.